Long non-coding RNA from Gasterosteus aculeatus aculeatus (three-spined stickleback), 1084 nucleotides. The record is from Ensembl. Lineage: Eukaryota; Metazoa; Chordata; Actinopteri; Perciformes; Gasterosteidae.
AUUCUCACUAAUUGGACCAAUCCAUGUUGUUGGAGCUAUAUUUUUAUUUUUGUUUAUUUUGGGUUUAAGUUAAUUUAUAGCCUUACUUAUUUCUUUUUCUUUUCCUGUUAAAGUUAAUUUGGUGUAUUUUGUAUUCAUGCUUUACUCGUAUUGUCGUUUAUUGGUCACAUGGUGUUAUGUUCAUUUGCAUAAGUAGGUCAAGGUGGGAGGUACUUCAGGCUCGAGGGCAUAUGGUUUUUUACCAGCGUGAGAGAGGCAGCAGAAAUGUCUGUGAGCUUGCUUAUGUGUGUGAAUAAACCGCCUCAAACUCAAUCUUGUUAUGGACAUUACUUUGCUUUGGUACCUCUGAACCUGCGUAAAGCCUAACCAUGACGUAGCCUCGAGUGGCCAUUUGAGAAGUUUGUUAUUAUUUGUUUUUGUUUAAGUUUAUGGACAAAUAGCCACUACAAUAAGUAAAAAACCCGCCCUGGAUAUAUCGUUGGUUUACGUGGAUACUGGACUUGUCGUUUGCUGGAUUACCGUUUCGAAAGUGGAUUACUCACCUGGAUGCGGGAGACAAACAAAGGAAAGGGCCUAGGAGUGACGGAGGUGUGGGCUGGAUACAGUGCAAACAUCGAAUAAUACGACCCAUCCGACAGUGUAAAGUUUCCCUGGACACCGUACUGGAUAACGGUGAAGCUACUGGAGCGCUGGAGCUGCACUACGGAGUGGAGGAUAUUAUUUGCUGCAAUUUGAAUUCGCAAAGGCCCAAAGCCUUCACAGGUAACGCGCACGGCCGCGCGCAACAACAGCUACUGCGUGCAUUCAACUCCGUGUACAAAGGCAACCACCGCAACAAACAAAGUUCCACAAGAGUUGCAGAAAAGGACGUAGUGAAAGCGGACCAAGACCACUCCACCGCCAUGAAGACGGGGGCCUGUGGUAAUCAGAGUCUGGGUGAAGUAUGGCCUCUGCACUGCGUGUCUGGCAGCAAUUAUGGCAGCAAAGGGAAGAGGAUUAAGGUACUAUCCCAUCUCGGCCUUCUAUUAGUGGGAUUGAUGUUGUUGGCCACCCUCCCGUUUGGAGCAAGCAUCAAACAAUCUGU